This 89-nucleotide transfer RNA is filed under the name Bacilli bacterium. RNAcentral's name for it is "tRNA-Leu". It matches the Rfam family "tRNA". Rfam says of the family: Transfer RNA (tRNA) molecules are approximately 80 nucleotides in length. Their secondary structure includes four short double-helical elements and three loops (D, anti-codon, and T loops). The record is from RNAcentral. Lineage: Bacteria; Bacillati; Bacillota; Bacilli.
GCCUGAGUGGCGGAAUAGGUAGACGCACAGGACUUAAAAUCCUGCGGGAGUCAAAUCCCGUACCGGUUCGACUCCGGUUUCAGGCACCA